Molecule: non-coding RNA, 136 nt
Organism: Arachis ipaensis
Lineage: Eukaryota; Viridiplantae; Streptophyta; Magnoliopsida; Fabales; Fabaceae
Source: RefSeq, a predicted model, not a curated record
UGGUUAAUACAUAAGUCAUUACUAUAUUUCAGCACAGAAAAUGGCAUCACAACUGUAUAUAAGAAUCUAAGCUCACUAAUGUCACUCAUACAUGAAACUGGACCUAUUUCUUUUCUAGAAGACAUUUGCAAGAUGA